AUGAAAACCGCGCACUGCAGGGGGAAAAAACAAAAACAAAAAACCGUCUCAUGUAUCAUGUUGAAAUAUUGUUUGUGUGAAAUGGAGCACCGUCACUGAGCUGAGAUAGAGCGUGAUUCAGUUUCAGGCUUUCCACCUGAUGCUGGACCUGGCUGCAGGGAUUUGCUCCCAUUCUGCCACGAGAGCAUUGGUGAGGUCCACCUCUGAGGGCUGGUGAUCGGGUCUGGCUCGCAGUCGGCAUUCCACUUCAGCCCAAAGGUGUUCUGUAGUCUCUAGCUCCGGUCUACUUCUUCCACACCGACCUGGGAAAACCACUUCUGUAUGGCGCUGGCUUUGUGCACUAGUGAUGACGUACAGUACAUGUUGGCACAACACAGUUGUAGUUAGGGAUACUGUAGUCAACUGUAAAGCCAUUCUGCAGCAUACUGUAUACCACAUAACUAGAUCAGAUAAGUGUGAAGUCUUUAUCGAGUAGCACAGAUGCAAGAUACGAGUUCGACAGGAGACUUAUAGGCUAAAGUGUAUCAUUUAAACAUGUAGUAAUCCGAAAUAAUCUGUAUUUUCUGUCUAAAAACUACUAAUCUAUUAAAGGUUAUGGCUGGUGA
Molecule: long non-coding RNA, 605 nt
Organism: Siniperca chuatsi (mandarin fish)
Lineage: Eukaryota; Metazoa; Chordata; Actinopteri; Centrarchiformes; Sinipercidae
Exons: 2
Source: RefSeq, a predicted model, not a curated record